CAGAUAGCCAGAGGAGAUAGCCAGAGGAGAUAGCCAGAGCAGAUAGCCAGAGCAGAUAGCCAGAGCAGAUAGCCAGAGCAGAUAGCCAGAGGACGCCAGAGCAGAUAGCCAGAGGACGCCAGAGCAGAUAGCCAGAGGAGAUAGCCAGAGCAGAUAGCCAGAGGAAGCCAGAGCAGAUAGCCAGAGCAGAUAGCCAGAGGACGCCAGAGGAGAUAGCCAGAGGAAGCCAGAGCAGAUAUAGAAGUAGUAAGAAAGCAUUUGUUUUGAACAGGGUCUGGGCAAGGACACUGCACAUUACAGCACAUAUCUUAUAAUAAGAUACCGGGUAGGGAGUGGUCUAUUUCAUUGCGUUUUUCACUCAUCACGUUUAUUCCGAAAAAUGUCUGUCCUCACAUGUCUGUUUGCCUAUGGACAAACAUUAAGAUUAAGCUACGUGGUGAGUUGAUGCCUAUUCGGCAGCUAGUUAGCUUGGUUUGUAUGCGUUGCUACUUUGUAUGCGUUGUUGUUGGCAACCUUUUACUUUUACUUUUUUUUGGAACAGAUUCCUGUUGGAACGUUCCACCCCUUCAAGCCUAUCAACUCCCGAGAUUAGGCUGGUGUAACCGAUGUGAAAUGGCUAGCUAGUUAGCGGGUGCGCGCUAAUAGCGUUUCAAACGUCACUCGCUCUGAGACUUGGAGUAGUUGUUUCCCUUGCUCUGCAUGGGUAACGCUGCUUCGAGGGUGGCUGUUGUCGAUGUGUUCCUAGUUCGAGCCCAGGUAGGAGCGAGGAGAGGGACGGAAGCUAUACUGUUACACUGGCAAUACUAAUGUGCUUAUAAGAACAUCCAAUAGUCAAAGGUAUAUGAAAUACAAAUCCUAUUGAGAGAAAUAGUCCUAUAAUUCCUAUAACUACAACCUAAAACUUCUUACCUGGGAAUAUUGAAGACUCAUGUUAAAAGGAACCACCAGCUUUGAUAUGUUCUCAUAUUCUGAGCAAGGAACUUAAACAUUAGCUUUUUUACAUGGCACAUAUUGCACUUUUACUUUCUUCUCCAACACUUUGUUUUGCAUUAUUUAACCCAAAUUGAACAUGUUUCAUUAUUUAUUUGAGGCUAAAUUGAUUUUAUUGAUGUAUUAUAUUAAGUUAAAAUAAGUGUUCAUUCAGUAUUGUUGUAAUUGUCAUUAUUACAAAAAAUAAAAAUAAAUAAUCGGCCGAUUAAUCGGUAGCAGGUUUUUUUCCGGGGUCCUCCAAUAAUCGGUAUCGGAGUUGAAAAAUCAUAAUCGGUCGACCUCUACCUGUCAGUCAGCAUUUCUCUGUUAGUCUACACCUGUUGGUUAGCAUGUGAAAAAUACAAGAAAAGAUUUGAACCAAGCGCCUUGAACUGAAUAAGGAUUAUAUGAGAGUAUCGGCAUCUUGAAACAUCUAUUGACCUUCU
RNAcentral lists this long non-coding RNA (1415 nucleotides) under Salmo salar (Atlantic salmon). RNAcentral describes it as "lncRNA (ENSSSAG00000095665.1)". The record is from RNAcentral. Lineage: Eukaryota; Metazoa; Chordata; Actinopteri; Salmoniformes; Salmonidae.